GAAAUUGUGUUGACGCAGUCUCCAGGCACCCUGUCUUUGUCUCCAGGGGAAAGAGCCACCCUCUCCUGCAGGGCCAGUCAGAGUGUUAGCAGCAGCUACUUAGCCUGGUACCAGCAGAAACCUGGCCAGGCUCCCAGGCUCCUCAUCUAUGGUGCAUCCAGCAGGGCCACUGGCAUCCCAGACAGGUUCAGUGGCAGUGGGUCUGGGACAGACUUCACUCUCACCAUCAGCAGACUGGAGCCUGAAGAUUUUGCAGUGUAUUACUGUCAGCAGUAUGGUAGCUCAUUUCGGCGGAGGGACCAAGGUGGAGAUCAAACGUAAGUGCACUUUCCUAAUGCUU
This 340-nucleotide long non-coding RNA is filed under the name Homo sapiens (human). RNAcentral's name for it is "non-protein coding lnc-EIF2AK3-4:57". The record is from RNAcentral. Lineage: Eukaryota; Metazoa; Chordata; Mammalia; Primates; Hominidae.